This 450-nucleotide ribosomal RNA is filed under the name uncultured bacterium. Its description in RNAcentral is "partial 16S ribosomal RNA". It matches the Rfam family "Bacterial small subunit ribosomal RNA", at positions 354 to 796 of the family's 1533-position model. The record is from RNAcentral.
GUGGGGAAUCUUCAGCAAUGGACGAAAGUCUGACGGAGCAACGCCGCGUGAGUGAAGAAGGUUUUCGGAUCGUAAAGCUCUUUCGUUAGGGACGAACGUGCUCUUUGUGAAUAAUGAGGAGUAAUGACGGUACCUAAAUAAGAAGCCACGGCUAACUACGUGCCAGCAGCCGCGGUAAUACGUAGGUGGCAAGCGUUGUCCGGAAUUAUUGGGCGUAAAGCGCGCGCAGGCGGGAUAUCAAGUCUGUCUUAAAAGUGCGAGGCUCAACCUCGUGAGGGGACAGAAACUGGUAUUCUUGAGUGUCGGAGAGGAAAGUGGAAUUCCAAGUGUAGCGGUGAAAUGCGUAGAGAUUUGGAAGAACACCAGUGGCGAAGGCGACUUUCUGGACGAUGUCGGACGCUGAGGCGCGAAAGCUAGGGGAGCGAACGGGAUUAGAUACCCGUGUAGUCC